This 246-nucleotide ribosomal RNA is filed under the name uncultured bacterium. RNAcentral's name for it is "partial 16S ribosomal RNA". It matches the Rfam family "Bacterial small subunit ribosomal RNA", at positions 524 to 768 of the family's 1533-position model. The record is from RNAcentral.
UACGUAGGGUGCAAGCGUUGUCCGGAAUUAUUGGGCGUAAAGAGCUCGUAGGCGGUUUGUCGCGUCUGCUGUGAAAACUCGGGGCUUAACUCCGGGCCUGCAGUGGGUACGGGCAGACUAGAGGUAGGUAGGGGGAGAAUGGAAUUCCCGGUGUAGCGGUGAAAAUGCGCAGAUAUCGGGAGGAACACCGGUGCGAAGGCGGUUCUCUGGGCCUUACCUGACGCUGAGGAGCGAAAGCGUGGGGAG